UGUGGCCAAGUUUUUAAGGGCGCACGGUGGAUGCCUUGGCACCAGGAACCGAUGAAGGACGUGGGAGGCCACGAUAGUCCCCGGGGAGCUGUCAACCAAGCUUUGAUCCGGGGGUUUCCGAAUGGGGAAACCCGGCAGUCGUCAUGGGCUGUCACCCGCUGCUGAACACAUAGGCAGUGUGGAGGGAACGAGGGGAAGUGAAACAUCUCAGUACCCUCAGGAAGAGAAAACAACCGUGAUUCCGGGAGUAGUGGCGAGCGAAACUGGAUGAGGCCAAACCGUAUGCGUGUGAUACCCGGCAGGGGUUGCGCAUGCGGGGUUGUGGGAUCUCUUUUUCACAGUCUGCCGGCUGUGAGGCGAGUCAGAAACCGUUGAUGUAGGCGAAGGACAUGCGAAAGGUCCGGCGUAGAGGGUAAGACCCCCGUAGCUGAAACAUUAACGGCUCGUUUGAGAGACACCCAAGUAGCACGGGGCCCGAGAAAUCCCGUGUGAAUCUGGCGGGACCACCCGCUAAGCCUAAAUAUUCCCUGGUGACCGAUAGCGGAUAGUACCGUGAGGGAAUGGUGAAAAGUACCGCGGGAGCGGAGUGAAAUAGUACCUGAAACCGUGUGCCUACAAGCCGUGGGAGCGUCGCGCAUCGAGCUUGCUCGGUGCGUCGUGACUGCGUGCCUUUUGAAGAAUGAGCCUGCGAGUUAGCGGUGUGUAGCGAGGUUAACCCGUGUGGGGAAGCCGUAGCGAAAGCGAGUCCGAAUAGGGCGUUUGAGUUGCACGCUCUAGACCCGAAGCGGAGUGAUCUAGCCAUGGGCAGGUUGAAGCGGAGGUAAGACUUCGUGGAGGACCGAACCCACCAGGGUUGAAAACCUGGGGGAUGACCUGUGGUUAGGGGUGAAAGGCCAAUCAAACUCCGUGAUAGCUGGUUCUCCCCGAAAUGCAUUUAGGUGCAGCGUCGUGUGUUUCUUGCCGGAGGUAGAGCACUGGAUAGGCGAUGGGCCCUACCGGGUUACUGACCUUAGCCAAACUCCGAAUGCCGGUAAGUGAGAGCGCGGCAGUGAGACUGUGGGGGAUAAGCUCCAUGGUCGAGAGGGAAACAGCCCAGAGCAUCGACUAAGGCCCCUAAGCGUACGCUAAGUGGGAAAGGAUGUGGAGUCGCAGAGACAACCAGGAGGUUGGCUUAGAAGCAGCCACCCUUGAAAGAGUGCGUAAUAGCUCACUGGUCAAGUGAUUCCGCGCCGACAAUGUAGCGGGGCUCAAGCGUACCGCCGAAGUCGUGUCAUUCAUA
Molecule: ribosomal RNA, 1279 nt
Filed under: Streptomyces sp. BpilaLS-43
Lineage: Bacteria; Bacillati; Actinomycetota; Actinomycetes; Kitasatosporales; Streptomycetaceae
Description: bacterial LSU rRNA
Rfam family: Bacterial large subunit ribosomal RNA
Source: RNAcentral